UGAGGAAUAUUGGUCAAUGGGCGAGAGCCUGAACCAGCCAAGUAGCGUGCAGGAUGACGGCCCUAUGGGUUGUAAACUGCUUUUAUGCGGGGAUAAAUUGACUCACGUGUGGGUUAUUGCAGGUACCGCAUGAAUAAGGACCGGCUAAUUCCGUGCCAGCAGCCGCGGUAAUACGGAAGGUUCGGGCGUUAUCCGGAUUUAUUGGGUUUAAAGGGAGCGUAGGCCGUUGUUUAAGCGUGUUGUGAAAUGUCCCGGCUCAACCGUGGCACUGCAGCGCGAACUGGACGACUUGAGUGCGCGGAACGUAUGCGGAAUUUGUGGUGUAGCGGUGAAAUGCUUAGAUAUCACGAAGAACUCCGAUUGCGAAGGCAGCAUACGGCAGCGCUACUGACGCUGAAGCUCGAAAGCGCGGGUAUCGAACA
RNAcentral lists this ribosomal RNA (422 nucleotides) under uncultured Prevotella sp. Its description in RNAcentral is "bacterial SSU rRNA". It matches the Rfam family "Bacterial small subunit ribosomal RNA", at positions 355 to 774 of the family's 1533-position model. Lineage: Bacteria; Pseudomonadati; Bacteroidota; Bacteroidia; Bacteroidales; Prevotellaceae. The record is from RNAcentral.